UACGUAGGGGGCGAGCGUUGUCCGGAUUUAUUGGGCGUAAAGAGCGUGUAGGCGGCCAGGUAGGUCUGCUGUGAAAACUCGAGGCUCAACCUCGAGACGUCGGCGGAAACCAUCUGGCUAGAGUCCGGAAGAGGAGAGUGGAAUUCCUGGUGUAGCGGUGGAAUGCGCAGAUAUCAGGAGGAACACCGAUAGCGAAGGCAGCUCGCUGGGACGGUACUGACGCUGAGGCGCGAAAGCGUGGGGAGCGAACAGG
RNAcentral lists this ribosomal RNA (253 nucleotides) under uncultured bacterium. RNAcentral describes it as "partial 16S ribosomal RNA". It matches the Rfam family "Bacterial small subunit ribosomal RNA", at positions 524 to 776 of the family's 1533-position model. The record is from RNAcentral.